Molecule: long non-coding RNA, 785 nt
Filed under: Marmota monax (woodchuck)
Lineage: Eukaryota; Metazoa; Chordata; Mammalia; Rodentia; Sciuridae
Source: RNAcentral
GGAAAAUAUGCAUUUGGAUAGAAUUGAUAUAAGUUUGCCUUUAUUAUUUAUUGUACUACCAACAAAAAAUAUUCCUACAGGAGUAUUUUGGCAAGAAGGUCCAUUAUUGUGGAUACAUUUAUCUUAUUCUCCUAACACUAUUCUUACUAGGUAUCCUGAGGCUAUAGGACAAUUAAUACUCAAAGGAAUAAAAGCAACGAAGGGAGUGUUUGGAAUUUCUCCCAAUAAAAUUAUUACUCCAUAUACUAUGAAUCAAACUGAUGAGUUAGCUAAUGAGUUAAAUACUUGGGCAAUAAUCAUGUGCAAAUCUGAUGUUUCAUUUGAUAACCACUUACCAUCUAAUCCUUUGUUGUAUUUUUGGUCUUCGCAUCCUGUAGUUUUUCCAAACAUGACAAGAAAAACACCUAUCAUGAAUGCUCCAAAUAUAUUCACUGGUGGUCAAAUAAUGGUACAGCAGCAGUAGUUACCCCUGAUAAAAAUUUUACAUUUUUAGUACCCAAACAAUCAGCUCAAAAGGCAGAGCUUAAUGCAGUAUUACAAGCUUUUAUGAUGUUUAAAGAUUCUGUAUUUAAUUUAUUUUCUGAUAGUCAGUAUAUAGUUAAUGCUAUAGUAUCCCUUGAAGAUGCUGGUAGGAUUUCCCCUUCCUCUACAGUUUUCUCUUUGCUUUCCACUAUACAAAGUCUAAUCUGGGACAGAAAAGAUCCAUUCUUUAUAGGACAUAUCAGAGCACAUACCGGAUUGCCUGGCGCCCUUAGUUUGGGCAAUGAUUUAGCAGAUAAAACUAC